This 2925-nucleotide ribosomal RNA is filed under the name Chloroflexaceae bacterium. RNAcentral's name for it is "23S ribosomal RNA". It matches the Rfam family "Bacterial large subunit ribosomal RNA". Lineage: Bacteria; Bacillati; Chloroflexota; Chloroflexia; Chloroflexales; Chloroflexaceae. The record is from RNAcentral.
AGAAGACAGAAUGAGCACACGGUGGAUGCCUGGGCGAUACGUGCCGAAGAAGGACGGGGCAUCGCACCGAAAUGCGGCGGGGAGCAGCGAGCAUGCAUUAAUCCGCCGAUGUCCGAAUGGGGCAACCCGCUACAUCUGUAGCACCACCUCUGGUGGGGGGCACCGGGCCAACUGAAACAUCUCACGUAGCCCGAGGAAGAGUGAACAACACCCGUAGUAGUGGCGAACGAACCGGGUGCAGCCCAAACCAACAACGUGUCAAGCUGGUAGGCGUUGCGUUGUUGGGGUUGGAGGACGUCCAAAGCUGGCUACCACCAGCGACACCGGAAUGCAUUGGGAGCCAAAAGCGUUUGGAAUACGCUGCCAGAGACCGUGACAGCCGGGUCGGCAAACCAUGCAGGCGGUGGGACUGUUCCUGAGUAUGACCAGGCACGAAGUACCUGGUCUGAAGCUGGGCCGACCACGGUCCAAGGCAACCUACACGUAUCGACCGAUAGCGCAUAGUACCGUGAGGGAACGGUGAAAAGUACCCCGGCGAGGGGAGUGAAAGAGUACCUGAAACCGUGUGCUUCCAUGCCGUAGGAGGGCGAGUAAGCGCCUGACUGCGUGCCUUUUGGAGUAUGAUCCGGCGAGUUACCCGUCGUGGCAGGUUAAGGCAGUUGCAGCCGGAGCCACAGUGAAAGCGAGCCUGAACAGGGCGUUAGUCGCGGCGGGUAGACCCGAAACCGUGUGAGCUACCCAUGGGCAGGCUGAGGCGUCCCUAACAGGACGUGGAGGGCCGAACCGGUGUCUGUUGCAAAAGGCUCGGAUGACCUGUGGGUAGGGGUGAAAUGCCAAUCGAACACGGAGAUAGCUGGUUCUCCCCGAAAUGCAUUGAGGUGCAGCCAUCGGCUGCGACCCGUUGAGGUAGAGCACUGUUGUUGUGCGGGGGCUUCACCGCUUACCAAGCGACGGCAAACUACGAAUGCGACGGGUCGGCACGAUGAGUGAGACGGCGAGUGCAAACAUCCGUCGUCAAGAGGGAAACAACCCAGAUCUGCUGCUAAGGUCCCCAAGUAACCGCUGAGUGGGAAAGGUUGUGUCGUUGCGCAGACAACCAGGAGGUUGGCUUAGAAGCAGCCACCCUUAAAAGAGUGCGUAACAGCUCACUGGUCAAGUGACGAUGCGCCGAUGCUGUAACGGGGCAAAGCGGUUCACCGAAGCACAGAACGUCAGCACUGACGUGGUAGGGGAGCGUCGCUACAACGUUGAAGCACGAGCGGAAGCCCGUGUGGAGUGGUAGCGAGUGCGAAUGCCGGAAUGAGUAACAGAGAAGUGGGGUGCGAACCCCCACCACCGAAAGCCUAAGGGUUCCGCCGCAAGGGUGAUCCGCGGCGGGUUAGUCGGGCCUAAGGCGUAGGCGCAAGCCGUAGCCGAUGGACAACAGGUAGACAUUCCUGUACCACAGUGGUUCCGUUUGACGAAUGCAGGAGACUGAGGGGCAGGUCGCGCGGUGAGACGAGCACCGUCCAAGCCGGUAGGGAGACUGCGGUCGAAAACCCGUGGUCGUUGACCGAGAGGCGAUAGGGAGGCGGGGCUAACUACCCACGCCAACGCGAUUGCGCCUGUGCAGGCGAGAAAUGCCUGCUACGGAGGAACUAUGUGCCCGUACCGCAAACCGACACAGGUAGGCACGUUGAGGAAACGCAGGUGGACGAGUGAUCCCUGGUUAAGGAACUCGGCAAAUUACUCCCGUACCUUCGGAAGAAGGGAGGCUGCGUCCGUGUGAAGGCUGUACAGCCGGAGCACGGGGCAGUGACACAAACCAGGCCCAGGCGACUGGAUACCAGAACCACAGCUCUCUGCUGAAGCCGCAAGGCGACGUAUAGAGGGUGAUGCCUGCCCAGUGCCGGAAGGUUAAGGGGAGGCGUGCAAGCGCCGAACCGAAGCCCCGGUGAACGGCGGCUGUAACUAUAACAGUCCUAAGGUAGCGAAAUUCCUUGUCGGGUAAGUUCCGACCCGCACGAAAGGCAUCACGAUCUGGGCACUGUCUCGACCAGGGGCUCGGUGAAAUUGCAGGGGCCGUGAAGAUGCGGCCAACGCGUAGCAGGACAAAAAGACCCCGUGGAGCUUUACUACAACUUGCCAUCGGAUAAGUGUAUUGCAUGCGUAGGAUAGGUGGGAGGCUGAGAACUUCGGCUUGCGGGCCGGGGGGAGCCAACGGUGAAAUACCACUCUUGCCUUACACUCAUCCUCACCCGCUGCGGCGGGGACGGUGGCUGGUGGGUAGUUUGACUGGGGCGGUCGCCUCCCAAAAGGUAACGGAGGCGCGCAACGGUGCCCUCAGGUGGGAUGGCAAUCCACCGUGGAGUGUAACGGCAGAAGGGCGCUUGACUGCAAGACCAACACGUCGCGCAGGGACGAAAGUCGGCCGUAGUGAUCCCACAGUACCGCGUGGAAGGGCUGUGGCUUAACGGAUAAAAGCUACCCCGGGGAUAACAGGCUCAGACCUCCCAAGAGUUCAUAUCGACGGAGGAGCGUGGCACCUCGAUGUCGGCUCGUCGCAUCCUGGGGCUGGAGUAGGUCCCAAGGGUUGGGCUGUUCGCCCAUUAAAGCGGCACGCGAGCUGGGUUCAGAACGUCGUGAGACAGUUCGGUCUCUAUCCGCUACGCGCGUUUAGAGCAUUGCAUGGGGCUGACCCUAGUACGAGAGGACCGGGUUGGACGCACCGCUGGUGGAGGAGUUGUGGGGCGGCCCGCAGGCUCCGUAGCUAUGUGCGGAACAGCGAACCGCUGAAAGCAUCUAAGUGGGAAGCUGGCCAUAAGAUGAAUGCUCUCGCUGUCUUGGACAGGUAAGACCCCCGGAAGAUGACCGGGUGGAGCGGCUGCUGCUGGAGGCGCUGUGAGGCGUAGAGGCAAGCAGAGCGCACGGUCGAGGGCUUCUUUG